RNAcentral lists this long non-coding RNA (287 nucleotides) under Vigna radiata. RNAcentral describes it as "long non-coding RNA (VRAD_LNC014838)". The record is from RNAcentral. Lineage: Eukaryota; Viridiplantae; Streptophyta; Magnoliopsida; Fabales; Fabaceae.
UUAUGUUCGAGAGAAGUGAUGGACCGAUCAGGGGAGACUGUUGAUCAAUCGGUUAGGACGAAGACUGGAGGGGAUCUACCAGUCAUGGGAGGAUUGUAGACGACAUCAAAGGAUGGGUAGUAAUGAGCGAGUAUUGUGGAGAAGGAAACUUACACGAUGUGGCAGUUACAAUUAGGGGCGAAUCUUGCGGAACAAGGUGCAAUAGUUACAAGAAGUUAAUGCCCAUUAUUGGGCCUAAAUGCCUAUAAAUACAGACAUGUUAGUCAGGUACUUGACUUGAUUCUGAU